AGUAACCUGCCUUACACAAGGGGAUAGCCUCUGGAAACGGAGAAUAAUACCCUAUGACAUUACAGCCUCGCAUGAAGCAGUAAUCAAAGUGUUUAGCGGUGUAAGAUGGACUUGCGUCUGAUUAGCUAGUUGGUGAGAUAACAGCUCACCAAGGCAACGAUCAGUAGCCGGCUUGAGAGAGUGUACGGCCACAUUGGGACUGAGACACGGCCCAG
Molecule: ribosomal RNA, 215 nt
Filed under: uncultured Eubacteriales bacterium
Lineage: Bacteria; Bacillati; Bacillota; Clostridia; Eubacteriales
Description: uncultured Clostridiales bacterium partial 16S ribosomal RNA
Rfam family: Bacterial small subunit ribosomal RNA
Source: RNAcentral